RNAcentral lists this transfer RNA (69 nucleotides) under Paracheirodon innesi (neon tetra). Its description in RNAcentral is "tRNA-Arg". It matches the Rfam family "tRNA". From Rfam's summary of the family: Transfer RNA (tRNA) molecules are approximately 80 nucleotides in length. Their secondary structure includes four short double-helical elements and three loops (D, anti-codon, and T loops). Lineage: Eukaryota; Metazoa; Chordata; Actinopteri; Characiformes; Acestrorhamphidae. The record is from RNAcentral.
AAGGCGUUAGUCUAAUUAAGACUUCUGAUUUCGGCUCAGAAAACUGUGGUUAAAGUCCAUAACCCCUUU